Molecule: ribosomal RNA, 457 nt
Filed under: Streptococcus sp. oral taxon 058
Lineage: Bacteria; Bacillati; Bacillota; Bacilli; Lactobacillales; Streptococcaceae
Description: bacterial SSU rRNA
Rfam family: Bacterial small subunit ribosomal RNA
Source: RNAcentral
GACGAACGCUGGCGGCGUGCCUAAUACAUGCAAGUAGAACGCUGAAGGAGGAGCUUGCUUCUCCGGAUGAGUUGCGAACGGGUGAGUAACGCGUAGGUAACCUGCCUGGUAGCGGGGGAUAACUAUUGGAAACGAUAGCUAAUACCGCAUAAUAUUGAUUAUUGCAUGAUAGUCAAUUAAAAGGUGCAAUUGCAUCACUACCAGAUGGACCUGCGUUGUAUUAGCUAGUUGGUGGGGUAACGGCUCACCAAGGCAACGAUACAUAGCCGACCUGAGAGGGUGAUCGGCCACACUGGGACUGAGACACGGCCCAGACUCCUACGGGAGGCAGCAGUAGGGAAUCUUCGGCAAUGGACGGAAGUCUGACCGAGCAACGCCGCGUGAGUGAAGAAGGUUUUCGGAUCGUAAAGCUCUGUUGUAAGAGAAGAACGAGUGUGAGAGUGGAAAGUUCACACUG